RNAcentral lists this long non-coding RNA (1218 nucleotides) under Camarhynchus parvulus. RNAcentral's name for it is "lncRNA (ENSCPVG00000018051.1)". Lineage: Eukaryota; Metazoa; Chordata; Aves; Passeriformes; Thraupidae. The record is from RNAcentral.
CCGCGGCGGUGCCACCGUCCCCGUCCGAGUGUCCCCAGCCCCGUGGCGGUGCCACCGCCCCUCCGUAUGUCCCCAGCCCCGCAGUGGUGCCACUGUCCCCGUCCGUGUGUCCCCAGCCCCGCGGCGGUGCCACUGCUCCCUGUCAGGUGUCCCCAGCCCCGUGGCAGUGCCACCGCUCCCUGCCGUGUGUCCCCAGCCCCGCGGCGGUGCCACCAUCCCCGGCUGAGUGUCCCCACCCCGCAGAGCCUGUUCGCGGGCGAGCUGGGGCUGCCCAUCGUGUGCGUGGGCUCGGUGUGGAACAGCUGGGAGCGCCUGCAGGAGGGGUUCAUCCGGGUGCUGGAGCAGGCGCGGCGCGCGGCCCGCGGGGAUUUCUCGCGGUUCAGCCUGCUGAAGCUGAAGCGCUCCUCGGCGCUGGGGGGAGCGCGGCUCGGGGCGCGCAGCGUGGGGGCGGCGCUGCCGCUGGAUCGCGCCAGCAACGUGGACGUGUUCUACACGCACGUGUUCUGAGAGCGGCGCCCCAGACACGGGACAGCGCCCCGAAACUGCCCCGGAGACACCCCGAAACUACCCCGGAGACACCACCCCAAACACGGCACUGCGCCCCAAAACUGCCCCUGGAGACACCACCCCCCAGAGACACUGCCCCAAACACGGGACAGCGCCCCAAAACUGCCCCGGAGACACCACCCCAAAACUGCCCCCGAAGCCGCCCCAAAACUGCCCCCGAAAACUGCCCGGAGCACUGCCCAACACGGACAGCGCCCCAAAACUGCCCCGGAGCCACCGCCCCGAAACUGCCCCUGGAGACACCACCCCAAACACGGCACUGCGCCCCAAAACUGCCCCCGGAGCUGCCCCAAAACUGCCCCUGGAGACAGUGCCCUGAAUACAGCACACCACCCCAAAACUGCCCCCGGAGACAGCGCCCCAAAAACGGGACAGCGCCCCAAAACUGCCCCUGGAGCUGCCCCAAAACUGCCCCCAGAGACAGUGCCCCUGAACACGGGACAGCGCCCCAAAACUGCCCCGGAGCCACCACUCCGAACACGGCACAGCACCCCGAAACUGCCCCCGGAGACAGCGCCCCAAACACGGGACAGUGCCCCAAAACUGCCCCCGGAGCUGCCCCAAAAACAGGACAGUGCCCUGAAACUGCCCCUGGAGCCGCCCCUCGGAUGGAGGGGGAGGGGUGGGGCUGUGGGGUGUGUGGGGUUUGUG